CCUACGGGUGGCAGCAGUGGGGAAUCUUGCACAAUGGGCGAAAGCCUGAUGGAGCAACGCCGCGUGGGUGAAGAAGGUCUUCGGAUCGUAAAACCCUGUUGUUAGAGAAGAAAGGGCGUGGGAGUAACUGUUCACGAUUCGACGGUAUCUAACCAGAAAGCCACGGCUAACUACGUGCCAGCAGCCGCGGUAAUACGUAGGUGGCGAGCGUUAUCCGGAUUUAUUGGGCGUAAAGGGCACGCAGGCGGUCUUUUAAGUCUGAGGUGAAAGCCCUCGGCUUAACCGGAGUAGUGCAUUGGAAACUGGGAGACUGGAGUGCAGAAGAGGAGAGUGGAACUCCAGGUGUAGCGGUGAAAUGCGUAGAUAUAUGGAAGAACACCAGUGGCGAAGGCGACUCUCUGGUCUGUAACUGACGCUGAGGUUCGAAAGCGUGGGUAGCAAACAGGAUUAGAUACCCCUGUAGUC
RNAcentral lists this ribosomal RNA (465 nucleotides) under uncultured bacterium. RNAcentral's name for it is "partial 16S ribosomal RNA". It matches the Rfam family "Bacterial small subunit ribosomal RNA", at positions 338 to 795 of the family's 1533-position model. The record is from RNAcentral.